GAUGAAGAACGUAGCGAAAUGCGAUAAGUAAUGUGAAUUGCAGAAUUCAGUGAAUCAUCGAAUCUUUGAACGCAUCUUGCGCUCCUUGGUAUUCUGAGGAGCAUGCCUGUUUGAGUGUCAUUAAAUUCUCAACUACACUGACUUUGAAUUGGUGUGGCUUGGAUUUGGGUGGAAAAUUGUUGUGGGCUUUUUGUAUAGUCUGCUCCCCUGAAAUUGAUUAGCGGUACCUUUGUGGAACUGUCUACAGGUGUGAUAAUUAUCUACAUCUUAGACAUCUGCUGGAAUGCUGCUUUCUAAACCUUACUUGUAUUGACAAUCUUGACCUCAAAUCAGGUAGGACUACCCGCUGAACUUAAGAAUAUCAAUAAGCGGAGGA
Molecule: unclassified non-coding RNA, 376 nt
Filed under: soil metagenome
Description: partial contains 5.8S ribosomal RNA, internal transcribed spacer 2, and large subunit ribosomal RNA
Rfam family: 5.8S ribosomal RNA (bases 1-120)
Source: RNAcentral